RNAcentral lists this small RNA (67 nucleotides) under Lysinibacillus xylanilyticus. Its description in RNAcentral is "Bacillaceae-1 RNA". It matches the Rfam family "Bacillaceae-1 RNA". Lineage: Bacteria; Bacillati; Bacillota; Bacilli; Caryophanales; Bacillaceae. The record is from RNAcentral.
GAUAGAGGAACGAAGGCUAAAACCUCACGUCCUGUGGUAACGCCUUCAUGACCAACAACGGUGCUGC